GUGGGGAAUCUUAGACAAUGGGCGCAAGCCUGAUCUAGCCAUGCCGCGUGAGCGAUGAAGGCCUUAGGGUUGUAAAGCUCUUUCAGGGGGGAAGAUAAUGACGGUACCCCCAGAAGAAGCCCCGGCUAACUCCGUGCCAGCAGCCGCGGUAAUACGGAGGGGGCUAGCGUUGUUCGGAAUUACUGGGCGUAAAGCGCACGUAGGCGGACCAGAAAGUCAGGGGUGAAAUCCCGGGGCUCAACCCCGGAACUGCCUUUGAAACUCCUGGUCUUGAGGUCGAGAGAGGUGAGUGGAAUUCCGAGUGUAGAGGUGAAAUUCGUAGAUAUUCGGAGGAACACCAGUGGCGAAGGCGGCUCACUGGCUCGAUACUUACGCUGAGGUGCGAAAGCGUGGGGAGCAAACAGGAUUAGAUACCCCGGUAGUCC
RNAcentral lists this ribosomal RNA (425 nucleotides) under uncultured bacterium. Its description in RNAcentral is "partial 16S ribosomal RNA". It matches the Rfam family "Bacterial small subunit ribosomal RNA", at positions 354 to 796 of the family's 1533-position model. The record is from RNAcentral.